RNAcentral lists this unclassified non-coding RNA (339 nucleotides) under soil metagenome. RNAcentral's name for it is "partial contains 5.8S ribosomal RNA, internal transcribed spacer 2, and large subunit ribosomal RNA". The stretch from base 1 to 120 matches the Rfam family "5.8S ribosomal RNA", at positions 35 to 154 of the family's 154-position model. The record is from RNAcentral.
GAUGAAGAACGUAGUGAAAUGCGAUACGUAGUGUGAAUUGCAGAAUUCAGUGAAUCAUCGAAUCUUUGAACGCACAUUGCACCUCUCGGUAUUCCGGGAGGUAUGCCUGUUCGAGCGUCAUUUGUACCCUCAAGCUCUGCUUGGUGUUGGGUGUUUGUUCCGCCUCUGUGUGUGAACUCGCCUCAAAACAAUUGGCAGCCGGCGUACUUGUUUCGGAGCGCAGCACAUUUUGCGAUCCAGAUCAACGUACAGCGGCAUCCAAGAAGCCUUAUUUAACGCUCUUGACCUCGGAUCAGGUAGGGAUACCCGCUGAACUUAAGCAUAUCAAUAACCGGAGGA